This 472-nucleotide ribosomal RNA is filed under the name uncultured bacterium. RNAcentral describes it as "partial 16S ribosomal RNA". It matches the Rfam family "Bacterial small subunit ribosomal RNA", at positions 28 to 507 of the family's 1533-position model. The record is from RNAcentral.
GACGAACGCUGGCGGCGUGCUUAACACAUGCAAGUCGAACGAUGAACCCGGAGCUUGCUCUGGGGGAUUAGUGGCGAACGGGUGAGUAACACGUGAGUAACCUGCCCUGGACUCUGGGAUAAGCGUUGGAAACGACGUCUAAUACCGGAUAGGACCUUGGAUCGCAUGAUCUGGGGUGGAAAGUUUUUUCGGUCUGGGAUGGACUCGCGGCCUAUCAGCUUGUUGGUGAGGUAAUGGCUCACCAAGGCGUCGACGGGUAGCCGGCCUGAGAGGGUGACCGGCCACACUGGGACUGAGACACGGCCCAGACUCCUACGGGAGGCAGCAGUGGGGAAUAUUGCACAAUGGGCGAAAGCCUGAGGCAGCAACGCCGCGUGCGGGAUGACGGCCUUCGGGUUGUAAACCGCUUUUAGUAGGGAAGAAGGGCUUCGGCUUGACGGUACCUGCAGAAAAAGGACCGGCUAACUACGUG